RNAcentral lists this ribosomal RNA (274 nucleotides) under uncultured bacterium. Its description in RNAcentral is "partial 16S ribosomal RNA". It matches the Rfam family "Bacterial small subunit ribosomal RNA", at positions 523 to 796 of the family's 1533-position model. The record is from RNAcentral.
AUACGGAGGGAGCAAGCGUUAUUCGGAAUCACUGGGCGUAAAGGACGCGUAGGCGGGUUUGUAAGUCAGGUGUGAAAUCCUACAGCUCAACUGUAGAACUGCACUUGAAACUACAGACCUAGAGUAUGGAAGGGGCAGAUGGAAUUAGUGGUGUAGGGGUAAAAUCCGUAGAUAUCACUAGGAAUACCGAAAGCGAAGGCGAUCUGCUGGGACAUUACUGACGCUGAGGCGUGAAAGCGUGGGGAGCAAACAGGAUUAGAAACCCGUGUAGUCC